AACGCACAUUGCGCUGCCUGGAUAUCCCGGGUAGCAUUCUUGGCUGAGUGUCCGAGUCCUGUCUUUGCCACAGCUGUGUCAUGCUGCAUGCAGCAUGGAGGCUGUGAGUAAGAAUAUGGGGUUGCAGAGAGGAGUAGGUGUACGAUAUUACUAUCGUGUACACCUGCUGAGUAGCUGCUGCCCUUAAGUUGUAGACAGACAGUAUGGUGUGUCACAGUUCUGUGUUCCCAGUGUUGUCAGCCUCUGGUACAAAGUAGCUUUGUUGUGUGAGCGCUGACAUGGGGAGAGCACGGGAGUGAAGAGGGAGCAAGUAGCCACGAUAUUUGUGUCUAUUGUCUUGUGGGUAUCAAAAUUAUAACCGGAUCUCAGGUCAGGUAGGAUUACCCGCUGAAUUUAA
Molecule: unclassified non-coding RNA, 397 nt
Filed under: uncultured fungus
Lineage: Eukaryota; Fungi
Description: partial contains ITS1, 5.8S rRNA and ITS2
Source: RNAcentral